GGCGGAGUAGCUCAGUGGUAGAGCAACCGGCCCAUACCCGGUAUGUCGCAAGUUCGAUCCUUGCCUCCGCCACCA
This 75-nucleotide transfer RNA is filed under the name Chloroflexota bacterium. RNAcentral describes it as "Chloroflexi bacterium tRNA-Met". It matches the Rfam family "tRNA". Rfam says of the family: Transfer RNA (tRNA) molecules are approximately 80 nucleotides in length. Their secondary structure includes four short double-helical elements and three loops (D, anti-codon, and T loops). Further hydrogen bonds mediate the characteristic L-shaped molecular structure. tRNAs have two regions of fundamental functional importance: the anti-codon, which is responsible for specific mRNA codon recognition, and the 3' end, to which the tRNAs corresponding amino acid is attached (by aminoacyl-tRNA synthetases). tRNAs cope with the degeneracy of the genetic code in two manners: having more than one tRNA (with a specific anti-codon) for a particular amino acid; and 'wobble' base-pairing, i.e. permitting non-standard base-pairing at the 3rd anti-codon position. RNAcentral also lists the same sequence under 4 other names. The record is from RNAcentral. Lineage: Bacteria; Bacillati; Chloroflexota.